CCUACGGGAGGCUGCAGUGAGGAAUAUUGGUCAAUGGCCGGAAGGCUGAACCAGCCAUGCCGCGUGAAGGUCAGUGCCCUAUGGGCGUUAAACUUCUUUUGUGCGGGAGCAAUAAUGGUCACGUGUGGCCAGACGAGAGUACCGUACGAAUAAGCAUCGGCUAACUACGUGCCAGCAGCCGCGGUAAUACGUAGGGGGCGAGCGUUAUCCGGAUUUACUGGGUGUAAAGGGAGCGUAGACGGUUCUGCAAGUCUGAAGUGAAAGCCCGUGGCUUAACCGCGGAACGGCUUUGGAAACUGUGGAACUGGAGUGCUGGAGAGGCAAGCGGAAUUCCUAGUGUAGCGGUGAAAUGCGUAGAUAUUAGGAGGAACACCAGUGGCGAAGGCGGCUUGCUGGACAGUAACUGACGUUGAGGCUCGAAAGCGUGGGGAGCAAACAGGAUUAGAUACCCGGGUAGUC
RNAcentral lists this ribosomal RNA (459 nucleotides) under uncultured bacterium. RNAcentral describes it as "partial 16S ribosomal RNA". It matches the Rfam family "Bacterial small subunit ribosomal RNA", at positions 338 to 795 of the family's 1533-position model. The record is from RNAcentral.